This 75-nucleotide transfer RNA is filed under the name Rickettsiales bacterium. RNAcentral's name for it is "tRNA-Glu". It matches the Rfam family "tRNA". Rfam says of the family: Transfer RNA (tRNA) molecules are approximately 80 nucleotides in length. Lineage: Bacteria; Pseudomonadati; Pseudomonadota; Alphaproteobacteria; Rickettsiales. The record is from RNAcentral.
GGUCCCUUCGUCUAUCGGUUAGGACACAUGGUUUUCAUCCAUGAAAGAGGGGUUCGACUCCCCUAGGGACCGCCA